UGGGGAAUAUUGGACAAUGGGCGAAAGCCUGAUCCAGCCAUGCCGCGUGUGUGAAGAAGGCCUUAUGGUUGUAAAGCACUUUAAGCGAGGAGGAGGUUACUGGUAUUAAUACUACCAGGUACUGGACGUUACUCGCAGAAUAAGCACUGGCUAACUCUGUGCCAGCAGCCGCGGUAAUACAGAGGGUGCGAGCGUUAAUCGGAUUUACUGGGCGUAAAGCGUGCGUAGGCGGCUAAUUGAGUCGGAUGUGAAAUCACCGAGCUUAACUUGGGAAUUGCAUUCGAUACUGGUUAGCUAGAGUGUGGGAGAAGAUGGUAGAAUUACAGGUGUAGCGGUGAAAUGCGUAGAGAUCUGGAGGAAUACCGAUGGCGAAGGCAGCCAUCUGGCCUAACACUGACGCUGAGGUACGAAAGCAUGGGGAGCAAACAGG
RNAcentral lists this ribosomal RNA (430 nucleotides) under Pseudomonadota bacterium. Its description in RNAcentral is "Proteobacteria bacterium partial 16S ribosomal RNA". It matches the Rfam family "Bacterial small subunit ribosomal RNA", at positions 355 to 776 of the family's 1533-position model. The record is from RNAcentral. Lineage: Bacteria; Pseudomonadati; Pseudomonadota.